GAAAUGCGAUACGUAGUGUGAAUUGCAGAAUUCAGUGAAUCAUCGAAUCUUUGAACGCACAUUGCGCCCUUUGGUAUUCCAAAGGGCAUGCCUGUUCGAGCGUCAUUUGUACCCUCAAGCUCUGCUUGGUGUUGGGCGUUGUUGUCCCCCGCUCGCGGGAGACUCGCCUUAAAGUCAUUGGCAGCCGGCCUACUGGUUUCGGAGCGCAGCACAAGUCGCGCUCUCUUCCAGCCAAGGGCGGCGUCCAGCAAGCCACUUUUUCACUUUUGACCUCGGAUCAGGUAGGGAUACCCGCUGAACUUAA
RNAcentral lists this unclassified non-coding RNA (304 nucleotides) under uncultured Ascomycota. Its description in RNAcentral is "sequence contains ITS1". The stretch from base 1 to 105 matches the Rfam family "5.8S ribosomal RNA", at positions 50 to 154 of the family's 154-position model. The record is from RNAcentral. Lineage: Eukaryota; Fungi; Ascomycota.